Molecule: long non-coding RNA, 1468 nt
Filed under: Castor canadensis (American beaver)
Lineage: Eukaryota; Metazoa; Chordata; Mammalia; Rodentia; Castoridae
Description: lncRNA (ENSCCNG00000028275.1)
Source: RNAcentral
AUGGCUGCCGGAGGCCCACUUCCCGCCCAAGGUGUGCGCACCCAGCCGUGCAGCGCCGGGCCAGAGCCGGGUGCGAGUGUGCAGCCGCCACGAGCGAGCACCGCAGGGGUUAAAGGAGGCGGUGGCGGCAGCGGCGGGGGGCCGACUGCCGCUGACUCCGGGAAGGGGGCGGUGCACGCCGCACCCGCCUGCUGGCCCGGGAUUGAGCCGGGCAGCAGCGCCCUCCGCUUGCUCAGUUGCUCCCAGCAGUGGCCUUGGGACCAGCUCGGCUCCCACUGCCCGCUCCUGCUUGGACACCAAGCUCACUCACCGCCUUCAUCUCCGCAACCAGCUUCCUGCCAGUCGCCACUGCUGCCUCGCCACUGCCCACCCGCCACUUGGCCCAGACCCUUACCCCACCCAGUGGCUCCUGUGCUGGAAAGGUGGCUGCCCCCUGUGUUCCUCCAUCUAGCCAUGAACUGGUGGUGAGUGACAGCCCCUGCCUUCCCCUGCUGGCCCCUCCUGCAGCCCCACAGCAGCAGCUCGCUUUGGACCUAAGGGGGUUGGUGGUCUGGGUGUUGGGCAGGUAGGAGGGUGGAGAAGGGUCGCCAUCCCUGGGCUGAAGUGGAUGGGGAGGAAGUGAGUCAUGAUAUGCCUUUGGAUGAAGAGGCAAGGCCUGUUCUUUAAGUCUGGAGACUAAAAACCCAUAAAAGGCCAUCUCGUGUGUCUCGCAGCCUGGCCAGGUGCCUGUUAUCCCAGGCAGGGCUUAGAGGACCAGGGCAUGCUGUGCGACUCCUUCCACCCGCCUAGUCCUGGGUUAAGUGCCUUUCAGAUGGACGCAGGAGAUGGAUGGUGUGAUCCAGCAUCCAAUCACCUGGCCAUUUCCCACAUCCAGGUGACCUUCUGUUCCACCCCAGCCUCCUUGGCUUGACUCUGCUUUUCUGCUUUUGCCAUCCUCCCCUUCUCUCCCAUGACAUCAGUCUUCCAGAACAUCCCGGACAGGGGCAGGACCCCUGUGAAGUGUGGGCUGUGGAGAAGGCUAGGCUCCAGACUGAUCCCAUCUGGCUGAUGGGGAGCCUUGGCAGUGCUUCCUGCCUCCCAUUCCCCCCCUUACCCUGCACAGGUCCCCCUUUCCUCUCACUGUUGGAGGCAGGCAAACCUUUGGGGGCCUCUGGGAGCCUCUGGGGGAGGAAUCUGUGAGCAUUCAUGAGUGUGUAUGCAUGGUGGUAGAGGGGUUUCACAGAGGGACGCCAGGAGGGCACAGCUCAGUGGGCUGGUGAGGGGUGCCUGAGAUGGUGCUGAUGUUGGGUGGAGUCUGAGGGUAGGGGCAAGAGUGUCACCAGACAGUUGUUGGUGUCCUAUGCACCAGUGUGAUCACUUGCUCAACCCAUACAUGGGAUGCACAGUCAGACCACCUUAUCUCCCUCUUCUCUAACACCCAUUUGCCGUGUGACCAUAGGUUGGUCUCUCCUCUUCCUUUCUGGGCCUU